AUGGGGACCCGCGACCUCCGACCCCGGGCUCCCGCCACCGAGCCGCGCCGCUUCUCUGCGAAGCGGGGGAGGAAGGAUCGGGCCGGGGGGGGGGGGGGGCCGAGGAGCGGAGGUCUCCGGCCGCCUCUCGGGUCCGGGUGCCUUCCGGGGGCGGCGGGGCCCGGCGGGCUGGGGCCCGGGCCCGGGAGGCGGGGGGUCCAGGCUUCUCUCCCCCGCUCCGUCCGCCGCUCGUCUGCCGCGCGGCCUCGGGCGGGUCACCCUUCCACCCGGGCGCUCGGUUCAGAGACGCGGCCUGGCCCAGCGGGCGACGGCGCCGACGGCGCCUGUCGGGCGCUUACUGCGCGACUGUGGGCAGGUCACUCCACUUCUCUGUGCCUCGGUGGCCUCGUCCGUAAAACGGGGAUUGAACGGGGCGCCUCACGCGGGACCGCCCGACGACCCCCGCAUCCCCCCCCGGCGCUUACAACGGUGCCCCGCACGGAGCGGGCGCUUAACGGAUACCGACAUCGUCGUCGUCGUCGUUAUUACGCGCCAAACCCCGGGUGGAGCCCGGUCUCGGGAACCCGAGGGUCACGGGUCCCGAUCCGUCGCCAGAUCGUUAUCCUCCCAUCUUCGCUCUUAUCGUUGGACGGUUCCGAGACCGUCUCCGUCAUCACCGAUCCCAGCUCGGGCGGCCGCCGGAGGCGGCGGGGCCCGGGGACCUCGCCUCUACGGCGGGGACGAGGGCCGCGGGCCCCACGUGGGACGGGGACCGCGCCCCGCCCGACUGGCUCGCGUCCGACCCCCGGCGCUUGGGACGGCGGCCGGCGCGGGGGCGCGGAGGCCGGGAGGCGUCGACGGGGACCCCCGGCCCUCCGGGCCGAGGGGGGGCGACCCACCUCGGAACGCGGCGGCGGACGGCGGGAGGCCCCCCGCUGGCAGGGCUUUGGUCAUGGGGGCCGAGGCGAAGGGGUCUUCGGGCGGGAGGCUGAAGGCGCUGGUGAUCUGGGAGCACAGCGAGCUGAUGCUCUCCCCUUCCCCUUCCGCUUCCGGCACUGCGGGGGCGGAGAGACCCGGCCGUCGGGAACCGCCAUCGGCCGCUCGCGCGCGGGGCGCCGACGGGGAGCCCGGACGGACGAGCGCCCGCCCGACAUUUGGGGUUCUCCCCCCUUCGGGGUGUCCGUUGAGCGCUCGCUACGGGCCGGGGACCGUGCCGGGCGCGCCGGAGCCGAUCUGGGCGGACACGGUCCGUGGCCCCCCCCGCCCCGCCGCGACCGUGGGGCGCGCGGUCUCGAUCCCCCGUUCCACGGAUGCGGUGACCGAGGCCCAGGGGAGCGGGGUGGGGCGGAGCCGGGAUUAGAACCCGGGCCCGGGCUCCUUCCGCCGGGCCGCGCUGCUUCCCGACCGAAACCGAUCCCCUCUUCCGGGAAGGGACCCCGGGGGGGCGGGGGGGGGGGGGCGGCCUCCGGAUCCUCACCGUCCACCUCGACGACAGGGAUCGAUCGACCGAUCGACCGCUGGUGUUUACGGAGCGCUCACUAG
RNAcentral lists this long non-coding RNA (1521 nucleotides) under Ornithorhynchus anatinus (platypus). Its description in RNAcentral is "lncRNA (ENSOANG00000042079.1)". The record is from RNAcentral. Lineage: Eukaryota; Metazoa; Chordata; Mammalia; Monotremata; Ornithorhynchidae.